Molecule: ribosomal RNA, 253 nt
Filed under: uncultured bacterium
Lineage: Bacteria
Description: partial 16S ribosomal RNA
Rfam family: Bacterial small subunit ribosomal RNA
Source: RNAcentral
UACAGAGGGUGCAAGCGUUGUUCGGAAUCAUUGGGCGUAAAGGGCGCGUAGGCGGCCCGGUAAGUCAGAUGUGAAAUCCCUGAGCCCAACUCAGGACGUGCAUUUGAAACUGCCAGGCUAGAGUGCAGUAGAGGUUGGUAGAAUUCCCAGUGUAGAGGUGAAAUUCGUAGAUAUUGGGAGGAAUACCGAUGGCGAAGGCAGCCAACUGGGCUGCAACUGACGCUGAGGCGCGAAAGCGUGGGUAGCAAACAGG